GGGGGCGUUAGCUCUAUGGCAGAGCAUUUGCCUUCCAUGCAGAAGGUUCCCAGGUUCAAUCCCUGGCAACUCCA
Non-coding RNA from Podarcis lilfordi (Lilford's wall lizard), 74 nucleotides. NCBI's taxonomy places the organism in Eukaryota, Metazoa, Chordata, Lepidosauria, Squamata, Lacertidae. The record is from the annotation of a GenBank genome assembly.